UAAAGUGGCGUACGGGUGAGUAACACGUGGAUCAUCUACCUUUUAGUGGGGAAUACCGUUGGGAAACCGACGACAAUACCGCAUAAGCCCGAGAGGGGAAAGCAGCAAUGCGCUGAAAGAGGAGUCCGCGGCUGAUUAGCUAGUUGGUAGGGUAAUGGCCUACCAAGGCAUCGAUCAGUAGCCGGCCUGAGAGGGCACACGGCCACACUGGCACUGAAACACGGCCCAG
This 229-nucleotide ribosomal RNA is filed under the name uncultured bacterium. RNAcentral describes it as "partial 16S ribosomal RNA". It matches the Rfam family "Bacterial small subunit ribosomal RNA", at positions 91 to 334 of the family's 1533-position model. The record is from RNAcentral.